RNAcentral lists this ribosomal RNA (460 nucleotides) under uncultured bacterium. Its description in RNAcentral is "partial 16S ribosomal RNA". It matches the Rfam family "Bacterial small subunit ribosomal RNA", at positions 338 to 795 of the family's 1533-position model. The record is from RNAcentral.
CCUACGGGUGGCAGCAGUGGGGAAUAUUGGGCAAUGGGCGGAAGCCUGACCCAGCAACGCCGCGUGAAGGAAGACUGCCCUACGGGUUGUAAACUUCUUUUAUAAAGGAAUAAAGUGAGGCACGUGUGCCUUUUUGUAUGUACCUGAUGAAUAAGGAUCGGCUAACUCCGUGCCAGCAGCCGCGGUAAUACGGAGGAUUCGAGCGUUAUCCGGAUUUAUUGGGUUUAAAGGGAGCGUAGGGGGGUUGUUAAGUCAGCGGUGAAAGUUUGGGGCUCAACCGUAAAAUUGCAAUUGAAACUGGCAGUCUUGAGUACGGUGGAGGUAGGCGGAAUGCGUGGUGUAGCGGUGAAAUGCUUAGAUAUCACGAAGAACUCCGAUUGCGAAGGCAGCAUACCGGCGCCCAACUGACGCUGAAGCACGAAAGCGUGGGUAUCGAACAGGAUUAGAUACCCGAGUAGUC